Cucumis melo (muskmelon) is the source of this 2360-nucleotide RNA transcript. It is a transcript of the gene named PX domain-containing protein EREX, with no coding region annotated. NCBI's taxonomy places the organism in Eukaryota, Viridiplantae, Streptophyta, Magnoliopsida, Cucurbitales, Cucurbitaceae. The record is from RefSeq and is a predicted model, not a curated record. The transcript has 10 exons.
UGUCCAUAAAGACAUCUGCCUUGUGACUUCUAAACCUUGAUUGGGCCCAAAUUUCGAAAACGAUCCAAAAGCCACUUGCGACAGCCAAAGCCUCCGAGUGCCGCAACGAUUCCGGAGGCAGGAUUGUAAAACUGGCGCGAAUUCGUUUCUCAGGCAAUCCUUUUCGUCGGAAUCCCAAAUUUAUAGAUUUUCUUUGGCUGCCGAACAAUACCGUGACAACAAAUUCAUAGCAAAUGAAUCUUUACGCUCAAGACCUUUCAGCGUUAGAUUUUAAUUUUGGCUUCUCCGAACCCUACGGUCAGCCCUUCUCUCGCCUUCGCGCUUCCUCCGCUAUUUCUUCAACUGCCUACCUCGAUGAAGACGACGACGUUUACCGUCCUGGCUGGGCUACAAGGAAUAUGCGCGAUAUGCCCUGCGACAUACCCCCCAUUCGCCGGCAUGAUGGUUCGUCGCCUCUCCCACUGGGAAUGGACUGGAGUCCUCCUCCUCAGAAAUGGGAUGGACCAGCUACAGCGUGGCCUCAUGAUCCGCCUACUGGAUGGAGCUAUUGUGUCACAGUUCCUUCUUGGACUACAAUUCCCAAAUCAAAUGGUUCAGAUCCUGUCGUGUUUUACAUGGUUCAAGUUGGAUUGCAAUCUCCAGAGGGUAUCACCUCUACAAGAGGAAUAUCAAGAAGAUUUAAUGAGUUUCUAGAGCUAUUUUACGAGCUCAAAAGAGCAUUUCCUAAGAAACAAUUGCCUCCAGCUCCACCAAAAAGGGUUUUGAGAAUGAAAAACAGUGCAUUUUAUGACGAUCGGAAGUCUUCCUUGGAGGAAUGGAUGGAAAAGAUGCUGUCAGACAUUGACGUAUCACGAAGUGUUCCAGUGGCAAGUUUUCUUGAACUGGAAGCUGCUGUGAGAUCUUUUUUCAGUGAUGUUAAUCACCAGAUCACGGAUGAGGUUUCUUCUGGUAAUAUCAUGGUCCACCCAAUUACACUAUCAAGCUCAACUGUGUCUAUUGCUCCUUCUUCUUCUGUUACUUCCAGUCCACGUGAUGAUACUUGUUAUGGGGAACCUGAACUUGGAGCUCCAAGAUAUGGAGAUGACGAGGGUGUAGAAUUGGGAAUCGAUGAACCUGCACUGGAAAAAUCUGGAACAGACAUGGAAAAUCUAGUAGUAAGAUCAAAUGAAGAAAUGUCUGAGAGACAAUUCCUUGCACCAAAGGAUGAACAAGUGCCCACAGAAUCAACAAUAAUGUCAAUUUUAGAGGAGAACAAAAUUUUGCUGCAAGAGUUGGAUGGUUCAAGAGAACAAAUUGAGUACUUGCAGAAACAAUAUGAAGAGUUUGUGAUGAAACCAAAAGCAGAUUUUGAUUUGUUUGUCAAAGAAAUUAAAUCUCUUCGAGGUACUCAGUCAGACUUGAGGCAGGAAUGCAGCCAAAUGAUGAAAGAGAAAUCAGAAUUAGAGAGGAUACUUCAAACCGAAAGACAAAGAAUGGAGCAAGCUGAUAUUGCUAAGCAAAAGCUUCUGCAUGAUUGUGAAGUUCUUCACCACCGCCUUCAAGAUUCUACUGUCGACUUUUUCAUUGAGCAGGAAAAUAAACUAAUUUUGGAAACUGCUUCGACAGCUGACGACGCAAUAGAUCUGUUGGCAACAUCUGAUAAUCACAUUAACCUUCUUUUAGCAGAGGCAAAGCUUCUGGCUCAUGAUGCUAACAACAGCGAUGACACUGCUGGAUCAGCCCGUCCAAAUGGAACUGAUAAAGGGGCAGCUGACCAAGUAUUAAGUAACAUACUAGCAAAUAUGCUUGUCGAAAAUGCCCGAUUAAGGAUGCAGAUGAACGCCGUCAUCCGCUGUGUUCUAAAUGCAAAUGGGACAAGUGAGAAAGAUGAAGAUGAAUCUCUCAAGGAAGAACUGUUCUAAGCAAGUUUUUAGAGGAAGAGAUUCCUGAAUGCACAUAUACAAUGACCUUAUACUGUCGUGGCAAGAAAUGGGAGAGCUGUAGAUUUUGAAUAAAUGCAACAGAUGUUGCCCAUUAAUUUGCAAGUCCUGACAAAUUUGGUUGUCGGAGGUGUAGAAAUGAUGUAUCAAUUAAAUAUUUAACAAAGUGCCUUUUGGCUUGGCUAAUCAUGGGCAUUUGAAGACUUUGCACUUGUAAACUCCUGGGCCUGAUGCAGAAUUGCUUUUAACCAUCUGCAUACAGAGAAGAAGUAAAAACUAGCUCAUGUGGAUAAAGGGAAAUUUCUACUGACAUGUUGGCAUUAGAAGAAAAUUUUGAAAGAGUUCUAUUACCAUAACAUCAUCUACUUCCGUGUAUUAUUGAAACUAUUAUUUCUCUUACCCGGAGAUAUUAAAUUAAUAAAUUUCUAUUUACAUUUUGAA